RNAcentral lists this ribosomal RNA (321 nucleotides) under Triticum aestivum (bread wheat). RNAcentral describes it as "partial small subunit ribosomal RNA". The record is from RNAcentral. Lineage: Eukaryota; Viridiplantae; Streptophyta; Magnoliopsida; Poales; Poaceae.
AUGCAGGAGGAUAGGGUUGUGGAUUUCAGUUAUCUGCAGUCCAACAUCACAUAUCAGCACCAAUGCAGAGUUGAAUUGGUGGCUGGUAUGAAGGCAGAAAUGGCAAAGAAAGAUGCAGUUAUAGAGAAGCUUCAAUGGAAGUAUGAACUCCUGUGCAACCUGGCAAGUGCUCAAGCAACUGUCAUCCGGAACCUGAAGUUGAAGAAUAUGAAAGAAAAGGAAUUGCUGAGUGAGGCUAGGAUGAAUUUGGAGUUAAAGAAUGCAGAGUUCACAAAGUUUGAGGAGAAGGUCACCCAAGAGAAGCUAGAGUUGAAGUUUUAG